Molecule: ribosomal RNA, 218 nt
Filed under: uncultured Chlamydiales CRG23
Lineage: Bacteria; Pseudomonadati; Chlamydiota; Chlamydiia; Chlamydiales
Description: partial 16S ribosomal RNA
Rfam family: Bacterial small subunit ribosomal RNA
Source: RNAcentral
ACGAAAUAGUAGCAAUACUAUUUAGUGGCGGAAGGGUUAGGAAUAUAUGGAUAACUUACCUCUAACUUGGGAAUAACGGCUGGAAACGGCCGCUAAUACCGAAUGUGGUGGAUUUAACAGAAGAUAGAUUCAUUAAAGUGGGGGACCGGUAACGGCCUUGCGGUUAGAGAAAGGUCCAUACGAUAUCAGCUAGUUGGUGAGGUAAGAGCUCACCAAGG